AUUGAACGCUGGCGGCAGGCCUAACACAUGCAAGUCGAGCGAGCGGCGGACGGGUGAGUAAUGUCUGGGAAACUGCCUGAUGGAGGGGGAUAACUACUGGAAACGGUAGCUAAUAACGCAUACCAUCAGAUGUGCCCAGAUGGGAUUAGCUAGUAGGUGGGGUAACGGCUCACCUAGGCGACGAUCCCUAGCUGGUCUGAGAGGAUGACCAGCCACACUGUAAGUGUGACACGGUCCAGACGCCUACGAGAUGCAGCAGUGGGGAAUAUUGUGCAAUGGGCGCAAUCCUGGUGCAGCCAGGCCGCGUGUGUGAAGAAGACCUGCGGGUUGUAAAGCACUUUCAGCGAGGAGGCGUUACCCACAGAGGAAGCACCGGCUAACUCCGUGCCAGCAGCCGCGGUAGUAC
This 406-nucleotide ribosomal RNA is filed under the name uncultured bacterium. Its description in RNAcentral is "partial 16S ribosomal RNA". It matches the Rfam family "Bacterial small subunit ribosomal RNA", at positions 30 to 526 of the family's 1533-position model. The record is from RNAcentral.